AGAAAGUUACUUCGGUACAUCGGUGACAGGUGGUGCAUGGUUGUCGUCAGCUCGUGUCGUGAGAUGUUGGGUUAAGUCCCGCAACGAGCGCAACCCCUAUUGUUAGUUGCCAUCAUUCAGUUGGGCACUCUAGCGAGACUGCCGGUAAUAAACCGGAGGAAGUGGGAUGACGUCAAAUCAUCAUGCCCCUUAUGACCUGGGCUACACACGUGCUACAAUGGUUGGUACAACGAGUUGCGAGUCGGUGACGGCGAGCUAAUCUCUUAAAGCCAAUCUCAGUUCGGAUUGUAGGCUGCAACUCGCCUACAUGAAGUCGGAAUCGCUAGUAAUCGCGGAUCAGCACGCCCGCGGUCGAAUACGUUCCCGGGCCUU
This 372-nucleotide ribosomal RNA is filed under the name uncultured Streptococcus sp. RNAcentral describes it as "bacterial SSU rRNA". It matches the Rfam family "Bacterial small subunit ribosomal RNA", at positions 1009 to 1382 of the family's 1533-position model. The record is from RNAcentral. Lineage: Bacteria; Bacillati; Bacillota; Bacilli; Lactobacillales; Streptococcaceae.